Syngnathus acus (greater pipefish) is the source of this 866-nucleotide long non-coding RNA. RefSeq lists it as uncharacterized. The record is from RefSeq and is a predicted model, not a curated record. NCBI's taxonomy places the organism in Eukaryota, Metazoa, Chordata, Actinopteri, Syngnathiformes, Syngnathidae. The transcript has 2 exons.
GACGUCGAGUUGAUGGAUGUUCCAUGACAGCAAUGACAAAUGCCUUCAUUAGCCUCUCAACUUUUGGGCUUUGGGAUGAGAACCAAAGGCAGUCAGCGCCAGUGGAAUCUUGGUUGGACGGUGUAGGGUGUCAAGCAGUGGCGCUGGGAAUGGCAGACAUCUUGAGAAGAAACUCUAAUCUUACUGUCUCCGCCUACAAAGUCUUUCCCCAGAAUGGCCCCGAUACAGUCGCUGCAUCCAGAAGCUUUUGUCCUUCGGAGCUGCUGUCAGGGGACACGAGUCACUCGAGCGCUUCCUUCCUAAGGGAGUUCUGCCGCUUCGAGGGGAUUUUUAAAACGAUGGUCAAUCACGGAUGCUUUCAAGCAAGGCGCUGUGGGGAACCUGCAAGUUGAAACUUCAAACAAGCUGUGCCGUCGGUCCCACAUUUGUGGCGUCAAUUCCGAAAGCCAAGCGCAAGACCUCCUUUGAAAAGUUCUUGCAAACACUUGGCAUGAAAAAACAAAAAUACGCCACGACAUUACGCACUUUUCGAGGAGUCACAAACUUGGAAAGAUGAUGCGGUGAUUGACCCGCACGCCAAUGAUAAUAGUUCUGUUCCCGUUUGGUGUUUCAUCUCUAUGUCAGUCCUGUCACGAGCGAGGCCUUGUCAGAACAAAGACGCAAAACAGAAGGUCACUGACUCGGUAAUCAGCGAGGUCACGCUGGGUCAGCGAGCUCUCGGGUGUCAGCACAAGCGGAUGCCCAAAGAAAGCAAGCAGAGACUUUGAGGUGACUAGUUCGAAGUCAACUCCAGACAAACUCAUUGCUUUCAACCAAAUGACCCGACGUCUGUACAAGAGACUCAGAUGCACACACAAAAAAAAAAA